Molecule: ribosomal RNA, 798 nt
Filed under: Pseudomonas sp. ps19
Lineage: Bacteria; Pseudomonadati; Pseudomonadota; Gammaproteobacteria; Pseudomonadales; Pseudomonadaceae
Description: bacterial SSU rRNA
Rfam family: Bacterial small subunit ribosomal RNA
Source: RNAcentral
CAGUCGAGCGGAUGAAGGGAGCUUGCUCCCUGAUUCAGCGGCGGACGGGUGAGUAAUGCCUAGGAAUCUGCCUGGUAGUGGGGGACAACGUCUCGAAAGGGACGCUAAUACCGCAUACGUCCUACGGGAGAAAGUGGGGGAUCUUCGGACCUCACGCUAUCAGAUGAGCCUAGGUCGGAUUAGCUAGUUGGUGAGGUAAUGGCUCACCAAGGCGACGAUCCGUAACUGGUCUGAGAGGAUGAUCAGUCACACUGGAACUGAGACACGGUCCAGACUCCUACGGGAGGCAGCAGUGGGGAAUAUUGGACAAUGGGCGAAAGCCUGAUCCAGCCAUGCCGCGUGUGUGAAGAAGGUCUUCGGAUUGUAAAGCACUUUAAGUUGGGAGGAAGGGCAUUAACCUAAUACGUUAGUGUUUUGACGUUACCGACAGAAUAAGCACCGGCUAACUCUGUGCCAGCAGCCGCGGUAAUACAGAGGGUGCAAGCGUUAAUCGGAAUUACUGGGCGUAAAGCGCGCGUAGGUGGUUUGUUAAGUUGAAUGUGAAAUCCCCGGGCUCAACCUGGGAACUGCAUCCAAAACUGGCAAGCUAGAGUAGGGCAGAGGGUGGUGGAAUUUCCUGUGUAGCGGUGAAAUGCGUAGAUAUAGGAAGGAACACCAGUGGCGAAGGCGACCACCUGGGCUCAUACUGACACUGAGGUGCGAAAGCGUGGGGAGCAAACAGGAUUAGAUACCCUGGUAGUCCACGCCGUAAACGAUGUCAACUAGCCGUUGGAAUCCUUGAGAUUUUAGUGGCGCAGC